GAUGAACGCUAGCUACAGGCUUAACACAUGCAAGUCGCGGGGCAGCAUGGGGGUUGCUUGCAACCCCUGAUGGCGACCGGCGCACGGGUGAGUAACGCGUAUCCAACCUGCCCUUCACCACGGGCUAACCCGGCGCAAGUCUGACUCAUACCGUAUGUUGUCCAUUGACGGCAUCCGAUUUUGACGCAAGUCUUCUCUCAGAUAUGAUGGGGAUGCGUCCGAUUAGCUUGACGGCGAGGUAACGGCCCACCGUGGCUACGAUCGGUAGGGGUUCUGAGAGGAAGGUCCCCCACACUGGAACUGAGACACGGUCCAGACUCCGACGGGAGGCAGCAGUGAGGAAUAUUGAGCAAUGAGCGUAAGCCUGAACCAGCCAAGUAGCGUGCAGGAUGACGGGCCUAUGGGUUGUAAACUGCUUUUAUGCGGGGAUAAAGUGGCCCACGUGUGGGCUUUUGCAGGUACCGCAUGAAUAAGGACCGGCUAAUUCCGUG
RNAcentral lists this ribosomal RNA (491 nucleotides) under uncultured bacterium. RNAcentral describes it as "partial 16S ribosomal RNA". It matches the Rfam family "Bacterial small subunit ribosomal RNA", at positions 28 to 507 of the family's 1533-position model. The record is from RNAcentral.